CAUCGUUCGCACUCCUCUCGAUCCCUCCAAAAAAAAGAGCUCCCACGCCCCACCUCCCGACCGACACGCCGCCGCGCUGCCAUGCCCCCCUCCUCCCCGCGCCGCCACGGUACCGUCCUCCCCGCCCCACCGCGGGCCCCCUCCUUCCUGUGUCGCUGCGCCCCGCUCCUCUCUGCGCCGCCGUGCCCCCCUCCUCUCCGUGCUGCCGCGCCCCCUCCUUCCCGUGCCGCCGCGGUCCCUCCCCCUGCCUCCGCGCCCUCCUCCUCCCCCACACGAGCCAGCUCCCAUCCUCCUCGGAUCCCGCCCCCAACCGCCACCCCCCGGCUCCGGUAGCCGCCCCACCUGUUCCUACCGCGGGUCUGACUGCGCAGAUCCGGCCGGCGUGGUUGGGCGGCGAGACUCACCGGGGUGGGUCUCCUCCGCCUCCGCCCCCACGCCGCGGGCCGCCGCCUCCGCCCCCCACGCCGUCGGGCGCCGCCUCCACCCCCACGCCGCGGGCCGCCGCCUCUGCACCCCACGUCGCGGGCCUCCGCCUCCGGCUGCAUGCCUUGGGCCGCCGCCUGCCUUCCCCCCGCUGUCGCUUACCGCCUCCCUCCCAAACAACGCCGCGGCUACCCCGUGCUUCCACCCCCCCCCCCCCCGCAGCUCUUUGCGCCGGGAUGGUCGCCCGCACUGUAUCGAUGCACCGCUGCCACAUGCAGGAAGUUCAACUCCACAAUCCGCGGCCGUUCUAUCUCGCUGCUAUUGGCGUGCCCCGCGCCAACUCCAUCGCCUCUGCUUCACUGGUAAAACAGUGCGACCUGAGGAACCACGGGGGUUCGAGGACGUCCAGUUCCGUAGUCCAAUUCGAUAUGAUUCACGUAAUCGAUAGCCCCCAUGUAGAAGCCCAGUAUGUAUUUUAUCAUCAGUUCUUAAAGGAAAGUUGAAUCAGUGUAGUGUGCGUGUUCAAAAAAUAAUUUCAGUUUUAUAUUUUAUAGAAAAUUUAUAAUAGUUCCCACUUUUCAGUCCAUCUACUUCCCGGUCACAAGUCCAAUUAGUAGAAAUUCAAAUAUGAAAAUAGCAUCCAUUUUUUUCUGGUAAUCAUCUUCAACCAAUUUGGUAUGUAUCAGACUUGCAUAUGUUAAUUAGUAGGGCAGAUCUCUGUUGUAUAAGAAGCUAGAUGUUGAUUUGCAAUUAUGCUGUGACUAUGCUGUGACAAAGCUAGAUGUAGAUCUCUUACUACAAUUCUUUGUUCUUUUCAUUCUAAAAAGGCUACCUUAGCAGCACAACUACACUUUUUUUUCCUUUUCAGCUCUCAAACUGCAGCCUAGUUUUGUUGUCAGUUCUCUGUUUUUGAUGGAUCUGAUAUGGUUAGCCCUAUCUAGUUUUUCUGUAUGUACAGUGCUCUAGCAAAAUUUGUUGCUUCUUUCUUGUAGUACUAAUGUUCUUGCUUCUCCAAUCGAAUGUUGCUCAGCUUCCUCCCAAUCCGCUUGAUCUCGUCUUGCUCCGAAGCAUGCUUCAGUUCGACAAUAAGCUCUAGAAAGGUUCAGAGUACUUUGCACUUCAGGUUGUGGUUGGUCAUGUGUUAUGAUGUGUUCAUCGCUAGUUCCUAUAGAGACGUACUCUAUGUGAACUUUUCUGUUAUAGCUAAUUGAUCGAACAUAUCUCAUAGUGAUGUGGUUCCUUCUCUGUAUUUCUUUUGCUGUGGUGCACUACCAUAUUUGCAGAAAAAAUAAGUUCUUUUGUGAGAGAAUUCAGUCUGGAAUCAUGGGAAAAAGAGGAUACAUUGAACUGGCUUUUUAUGGUUUGUCCAAUCUAUUUAAUUUGGUAUGUGUAGAAAAGAUGGUAUGUCUACAUACUAUCAUCUUGUUAGUUCCGAAUACUAUCAUUCUGGUAAGUUCAUAUGUUUUUGUUUUGAGAAGUGCAUAUCCCUCCAUGAAUACUAUCCUGGUGUCCUAGCCUCUUGAUAUGCCCAUGAGAACUGAUACAAUUUUUUCUGCAGGUUUCCUUGUUGAUUUAUGAGGGCUACACAAGUUUAAUUUUUACGGAAGUUGAACUCUAGGAUAUGGAGUUUGAUGGAUGUGGAGGUUGUGUCAAAUAUUUCUGGUUUAUGAAUUUUCUGAUUAAUACCAAGGAUCAGUGCCCUAGCCUAGCAUAUCAUAGAAAUGCCGGGUUGCAUGUCAGUGCAUACCUAUGGUCAUCGUCUUUGGACCAGGGUCCUUUUGUUUUGGUGUGGUAGCUUCUGGCUGCCCAUUCUUUAGUACUGGAGCAUAGCAUUCUGCGUUGUUUAAGCAAACAUUUAAAUUGUAUUACAAAUUUUUCUUCUUCCCUCUGUUCCACAAAAGAUUGUGUGUUCUUUUUUGAAUGUAUGUUAGAAAGAAGGGCAGAAAACAGUAGCAGAUAGAAAACAGUAGCAAAAGUUCAAAGUUCAAACUUUCAUCAGUCCAGUAUACAAAAAGCAACAAAAAGUUCACUCUAAAAAACACCAGUAAUGUUAUGAUCUGAAUUUCCUUUGGCCAGUCUUUUUUAGUCUGUAGCAAAUAGAGUUCCCUCCAGUUCACUGACGCCUGCGCCACCGGGUGCAGCCACUGUGAGGCGGCGCCAACAAGCAGUAUGCACGGAGGCGGAGCAUCCUUCUAGUGUGUUUGCUAGACAGGAACAAUGUGUUGAUGUCGAGAAAAACAGAGACAAGGUUAGGGGAUUUUGUUUUUGUCCUAAAGUAUUUAUCUGCAUGCAUAAGUUUGAAGAUUGUCAUAGAGCGAGUUCAAGUGUGGUAAAUCACGACGGGCGGUGAGAGUUCAUUUAAAUCACGACGUCUGAAUCGGGGUCAGCCCCUGCCACCAUGCUCCUUCACGGCCGGGUGGUCAUGAUGAUUAGCAGUAUGUACACAAAACAUCAAUGUUUGCUUGAUGGCCAUUCCUGAUCUACAUACUUAGGACCUGCACAAGUUUCGGCCAAGGAACCAUCAUCGGGCAGCAGGGUGUCCCCGGAGUUCUAUGCAACAACGGUCAUUGAACUCGGUAAGCCUUGCACAGAUAGCCUGUGCAAUGAUGAAUGCAUGAAGAUCUUUCCAGGUCCUGGCAACUGUGAGAAAGGCAAGUGCUUAUGGGGGUUUUGCUGAAGAAGAAAGGCCUAGCUUAACUGGCAUAGCAGUACUCAAAUCAGGUCUUGAUGUUGUGGAGGCUUUGGAUCUUUCCCUAGUUGCUUGACUCCAAUAAUAAUGCCUUUUGAGAUUGUACCAUUUUGGUCGUCCUUUGGCCUUGUAUCGAACUUCUAGUCAUCUUGUUACAUCAGUUCAAAAGCAUAGAGCUGGCACUGCUGUAGCGAUCUUGUCCGCGACCACAUGGAUCUUGUUCUGUUUAAUGUUGUUUGAUGUUCGUAGAUACA
Long non-coding RNA from Triticum aestivum (bread wheat), 3366 nucleotides. RefSeq lists it as uncharacterized. The transcript is spliced from 2 exons. Lineage: Eukaryota; Viridiplantae; Streptophyta; Magnoliopsida; Poales; Poaceae. The record is from RefSeq and is a predicted model, not a curated record.